RNAcentral lists this ribosomal RNA (433 nucleotides) under uncultured bacterium. Its description in RNAcentral is "partial 16S ribosomal RNA". It matches the Rfam family "Bacterial small subunit ribosomal RNA", at positions 29 to 507 of the family's 1533-position model. The record is from RNAcentral.
AACGAACGCUGGCGGCAUGCUUAACACAUGCAAGUCGAACGAGAACUUCCGGUCUAGUGGCGCACGUGUUCGUAACGCGUGGGAACCUACCCUUAGGUUCGGCAUCACUCCCCGAAAUGGGUGCUAAUACCGGCUAAUAUCUUCGGACAAAUGAUUUCUCGCCUUGGGAUGGGCCCGCGUUGGUUUAGCUAGUUGGUAGGGUAUAAGCCCACCACGGCGACGUUCCAUAGCUGGUCUGUGAGGAUGAUACGCCACACUGGGACUAAGACACGGCCCAGACUCCUACGGGAGGCAGCAGUGGGGAAUAUUGGACAAGGAGCGAAAGCCUGAUCAAGCAGUGCCGGGUGAGUGGUGAAGGCGUUUGGAUUGUAAAGCUCUUUUACCCGGGGUGAUAAUGACAGUACCGGGAGAAUAAGCUCCGGCUAACUCCGUG